Molecule: ribosomal RNA, 292 nt
Filed under: uncultured Anaerolineae bacterium
Lineage: Bacteria; Bacillati; Chloroflexota; Anaerolineae
Description: partial 16S ribosomal RNA
Rfam family: Bacterial small subunit ribosomal RNA
Source: RNAcentral
GAGUUUGAUCAUGGCUCAGGAUGAACGUUGGCGGCGUGCCUAACACAUGCAAGUCGAACGGAAGUAGCAAUACUUCAGUGGCGCACGGGUGAGUAACACGUAGCUUACCCUCCUCCGAGAGUGGGAUAACGGCUCGAAAGAGCUGCUAAUACCGCAUAAGCUCCCGAGCUAUAGAGGCUUGAGAGAAAAGGGGCAACUCGCUUAGAGACGGGGCUGCGGCCCAUCAGCUAGUUGGUGAGGUAACGGCUUACCAAGGCGACGACGGGUAGGGGACCUGAGAGGGUGACCCCCA